This is a non-coding RNA of Myodes glareolus (Bank vole), 411 nucleotides long. The record is from RefSeq and is a predicted model, not a curated record. Lineage: Eukaryota; Metazoa; Chordata; Mammalia; Rodentia; Cricetidae.
AGAAGAGAAGCGAUUUGUGCCAGCUUGGCUGUGGGCCCUCUUCACUAUUGAGCAGUAAGCUUACCAUUAAUGAAUGAAGAAGCAUUUAUUUGGCUCUCUGUGCCUGGCCUUUUCUACAGAAGGAGGCAUGCUGUCUAUGAAGACUCUGCAGGAUGGGUCCUGCGUGCACCAAUUAAUUUCUCCCAGUGCAGUCCUGCUCCAACAAAAUUCACUCUUGUGAGUCAGAGUUCACCUUUUAAAAUGGUGUCAACAAACAUUUAUUAAAUGAGGGCAUCUUGAACAAGCAGAAACACAAAUAGCUAAAAGUCAAUAUAAUGGAAUAUUAAUUAUACUCUAUCACAUUUUUAUGGAGAAUCCUGUUUUGUAAUUGUUGUACUAAAAUGGCCCCUGUGAAGACAACUGUACUUUUAG